AGAAAUCGUGAGUUAGAGAAAGAAAACAAUGUGUAAAUAAUAUAUAUAAUAUUAAGUUUCCAUGAGCAUCCAAAAGUGGUUCUAUGAGACCUUACUAAUUCACGUGCAGUGCUAGCAAGAUGUGACUGUUGUAUCAUGGAGGAUAUUAGCUAUGAGACCAACUGCACCGGGUAACUUACCUGUGGUGGCAAAAUACUCUUAAACUCAGUACAUUUGCACGCCUCAGUCAAAUCGAUAAGUUUUUCUUAUUCUAAAUUAUUUUAUUAUAAGUCUAUUUAUCUGUAAUAAUAAUUUCUCUUAUUUAUUUAUUUGAUAAUAAUUCUAUGUCAUAAUAUUUUUCCAACAAUCUUAAGAGUAAUUCCUUUUGAAUUGUCAUAGAAUUAUUAUUAUAAAGUAUUUGUUACUAAUUAUAUUUCGUGAUUUGUUUAUACGUACUGUUGUUAAUGCAAAAUGAUUGGCGUGACAUGUUGUGAUGAUUUUGGUCACACAUUAAAUUGAAAUUGUGGGCAAUAUACCCGGAGCUUGGUGAACUUGAUUCUACGGGAAAAUGGUGAAUAAUUUUCUGAAAGUUGUACCUGCUUAUAUAAUUUAUCCAGGUUCUAUCAAUUCUACCUUAUUUAAUUCUCUUUGUUGAUGGAUGAUUUAUUUGUGUUACCAUGUCUUGAUGUUUGAGUGCUAUUAAUAUUUCCACCGAAAAGCAUUUCAUGUCAUGUCUUUGGUUAAGAGAAUGUUAUGGAUGCAAGCAUGAGUAUAGUUGAAAAGUGAUACAAUUUAUUGAUAUGUGUACACACUUGUGGUUUUGAAUAUCUCUGUCAACUUUCAAUAAAAUAGAGAACUAUGGUUUUGUUAAACAUGGUUUGUUUAUCUCUUGUAGUACCUAAUUUUAGGGAAUGUUAAUUUUAAAAGUUGUGUAGCUAUAGAUCGAUGUAUGUUCAUCCUUGUUGAUUGCAUAUUAUAAUAUGGUGAUAAAUUUUUCAUUGGUAUUCUUUACCGAUUUUAAUAUUAUUUACUUUCAAUAGUUUAAUUGGUUUAAUUGUGCAAAAUUGAUAAUAAAUUUACGGUUGAAAUUUUAUUGAGUAGAAAUUAAAUUGAUAUUCACUUGAAUUUGUGUGAAAUAUAUUUUGAUGUGGGGGUAUAUUUAUAUUGGUGAAUUUAAACUAAUGUGUAUAAAUAUUAAAGCGUGAUAAUUUUUUACUUUAUGGUUGAAAUAUAUUGUGUUUAUUUUACCUAAUAUUUAUUGUAUGCACUAAUCAUAAUUUGGGUGAUGCAGUAAGUUUUAGUUGCCACCGAAGCAUAGCGAUAUUGAAAUUUGGCAAUACUGAGCCUCUCCCUAUUCAAAGAAAGGAUAGUUGCAUAUAUUAUGUAUUGAAAAACCAUUGGGCAUAUUUGAGCCCAAGAUUUUAAUAUUUGAGAGAUAUUAUGAAAUAUAGAAAAAUAUAUAUAUUGUGGAGUAUCCAUUGUAUUAGAAUAAUACAAUGAUGAUUAUUAAAACUUUCGAUAAGAAAAUAAAUAUUUGCGUGGAUUAAUUUUUCCAAUGGGUUUGUCGCUUGGAAUUUUUUCAAGUAGACUUGGAUAAAUAAUUUGUUUGGAAACUUAAUUCUACCAAAUGUGGGGGUGUUGUCACUUGGAAAUUCUCAAGUAGAUUGGUACUAAUAAAUUUAAAUAUAGAUUGAAUUUUUGUGAGAAUAUUGUUGCUUAGAAUUUAUCUAAGUAAACCUAUGAUAGUAUAUCAUGGAUGUAUAUUCGGAAAUAAAUGAGAUAUUGACUAAGAGACGUCUUAGUCAAUGUAUAAUUGAAAUUUGUGAAACAGCUGUUGAUUGAUAUAAAUAAAGGAUCAUGUGAUAAUCCCACUGAGAAAUAAACUAGUGGAUGAUAUAUACAUCGAGGGGGGUGGAACUAUAUAUGUCCAAUACAAAAAUUGAGAGUGAUGGUAACCCAACAUAGAUUGUGAAAAUUUGCAAGGAUAUGUUCAUAUGGGUAAGAACAAGUCACUUGUCAAUUUGAGAAGACACUAUCCAAUUUCUAUUUGAUUUCAUCCCUAUGGUGUACUAUGGUGUAGGAUAGUGUAUACUACAGCGUUGGAGGUUGAGUUUAUUCUCUUAAUGAAUCUAUAGCUCAUGAAUGAGUGGUGUGCUUGACUGUGGUGUACACUUGAUAGAUUCACCUAUAUGAGUGUUGAGGUGAGGCCGCCUUUAUGAAAGCUUGGGCAGACUUUCUAGAGCCACUCAUGAAAUCCAGGUAUAGGUGCAAGGCCAAAAUGCACCAAACCGCGUUGAACAACUUUGAACGAAAGAUCAAUGUGAGUGAUGAAGUCACUGUUUCACAUACGGAAUGAGGUUCAUAGAGGUUAUAAUCUCACCGACAUUCUAGUGGAUCAAAUUUCAUUUGCUCUAUGUGCCAGUUCAUAGUCCAAAAGACACUAGUGUUUAUGCGUUGAUUUUUCACGCUCUUGGGAACACCUAAAAAUUAAAAUCUAAAACUUUAAAAUAAACUGUGGGGGAUUGUUGG
RNAcentral lists this long non-coding RNA (2508 nucleotides) under Trifolium pratense (red clover). RNAcentral describes it as "long non-coding RNA (TPRA_LNC012722)". The record is from RNAcentral. Lineage: Eukaryota; Viridiplantae; Streptophyta; Magnoliopsida; Fabales; Fabaceae.